RNAcentral lists this ribosomal RNA (206 nucleotides) under uncultured bacterium. RNAcentral's name for it is "partial 16S ribosomal RNA". It matches the Rfam family "Bacterial small subunit ribosomal RNA", at positions 568 to 774 of the family's 1533-position model. The record is from RNAcentral.
CACGUAGGCGGAUCGUUAAGUCGGGGGUGAAAUCCUGGAGCUCAACUCCAGAACUGCCUUCGAUACUGGCGAUCUCGAGUCCGGAAGAGGUGAGUGGAACUCCUAGUGUAGAGGUGGAAUUCGUAGAUAUUAGGAAGAACACCAGUGGCGAAGGCGGCUCACUGGUCCGGUACUGACGCUGAGGUGCGAAAGCGUGGGAGCAAACA